AUGAAUUACACGUUUUAGCGCACGCGUCACACUCGGCUCGUCACUCACGGCGAGCAGGCAGGGGGCUUGAGCAGAGUUACGCAUGAAGGUUUGAAGGUUUAUGGAGAUCGCUGUGUCCAAAGAUGAAAGUUUGCACCCUUGGGAAGCGGAGCGAGUUUCAUGGUGCUCGAAACGAAAUAAAUUGCAUCGGUCGAACUCCACGCUUCCUUAUAUGUUGUCUUGGUCGAGGGCUGCUACAGACAGUCUGCAUGUGCUUGAGACAGACGGGCCACAUUGCCUGCAGUGGAAACAAGAGCAUUGACUAGAGAGGGCGCUAUAAGCUCCGGAGUGCCCAUCUCAGAUGGAAAUUCAACCGAUCCCUUGGAAUCUGACAGUAAAAUUGAAGUGUUUUUUCCAGUGUGUCACUUCACUAAGGUAGACUGAUAUUUUAAGCAUUUUCAUAUUUUGAUUUGAGGCAUUUCAGAACAUCUGAAGGAAAAGAUUAAACUGAUCUUGACACAUGUUGAUGUUAAAACUAUAAUUAUAGAAUAAUGAACCAUCACUGCUGCUGUAUGAAGCUAUCAAUGCAGGUUAAAAUGUUUCAAUGGUCCACUACAGGAUAUGAUGUCACAGAUAGACGGACAAAUACCUGUCACCUCCUUCUUCUCUUCCUGCUCGCUCAGAGGGCUGCUCAGGUGUGUCGGACGUCUCUGGGCCUGAAAGAGAAGGGAGAUGUUUAGAGGACACAAAGUUACCGUGUGCUCUCACAUGAUGGGUUUCAUUAUUGUUGCAGUCACUGGGGUUAUGUUUCAGAUGUAUAUGCUCAGUAUGAUCCCACAUUUUCAAAACUGCUUUACACUGCAGCUUUGACAGUGACGAUCACUUCAGCUUCACAAUAAAAUCAAACAGUUUGAAAACAUGAUUUAUUGGCAUAUUAAAAAACACUGAGUAUAGAUAUUUGUUUACAUGUUAAACAUCAUAAAGAGGAUGUUUAAUAGAAGUUAAUCAAGAUUUCACAUGGUCUCAGAUGUUUCUUCUUCUAUGAGAGAAUAUUUCAUCCGGGAGUUUGAACUCCUACAGCUGCUCUUACACUGUAUGUACAUGCUGAUUUUUAC
Long non-coding RNA from Labrus bergylta (ballan wrasse), 1094 nucleotides. RefSeq lists it as uncharacterized. The record is from RefSeq and is a predicted model, not a curated record. NCBI's taxonomy places the organism in Eukaryota, Metazoa, Chordata, Actinopteri, Labriformes, Labridae.